GACGGCGUGCCUUUUGAAGAAUGAGCCUGCGAGUUUGCGGUGUGUUGCGAGGUUAACCCGUGUGGGGAAGCCGUAGCGAAAGCGAGUCCGAAUAGGGCGAUUCAGUAGCGCGCUCAAGACCCGAAGCUAAGUGAUCUAUCCAUGGGCAGGUUGAAGCGUCGGUAAGACUACGUGGAUGACCGAACCCACUUAGGUUGAAAACUGAGGGGAUGACCUGUGGAUAGGGGUGAAAGGCCAAUCAAACUGGGAAAUAGCUCGUACUCCCCGAAAUGCUUUUAGGAGCAGCGUGGUGGUUGAGUCUGACAGAGGUAGAGCUACCGAUAGGACUAGGGGGUGUCACAGCCUACCGAAUCC
RNAcentral lists this ribosomal RNA (354 nucleotides) under Aplanochytrium stocchinoi. RNAcentral describes it as "partial Bacterial large subunit ribosomal RNA". It matches the Rfam family "Bacterial large subunit ribosomal RNA", at positions 595 to 946 of the family's 2925-position model. Lineage: Eukaryota; Bigyra; Thraustochytrida; Thraustochytriidae. The record is from RNAcentral.